CUACGGGCUGCUGCAGUGGGGAAUAUUGCACAAUGGAGGAAACUCUGAUGCAGCAACGCCGCGUGGAGGAUGACACUUUUCGGAGCGUAAACUCCUUUUAUAUAGGAAGAAGAUGACGGUACUAUAUGAAUAAGCGCCGGCUAACUCCGUGCCAGCAGCCGCGGUAAUACGGAGGGCGCAAGCGUUACUCGGAAUCACUGGGCGUAAAGAGCGUGUAGGCGGACUAAAAAGUCAGAAGUGAAAUCCUAUAGCUUAACUAUAGAACUGCUUCUGAAACUCUUAAUCUAGAAUAUGAGAGAGGUAGAUGGAAUUUCUGGUGUAGGGGUAAAAUCCGUAGAGAUCAGAAGGAAUACCGAUUGCGAAGGCGAUCUACUAGAACAUUAUUGACGCUGAGACGCGAAAGCGUGGGGAGCAAACAGGAUUAGAUACCCUCGUAGUC
Molecule: ribosomal RNA, 439 nt
Filed under: uncultured bacterium
Lineage: Bacteria
Description: partial 16S ribosomal RNA
Rfam family: Bacterial small subunit ribosomal RNA
Source: RNAcentral